UACGGAGGGGGCAAGCGUUGUCCGGAAUCAUUGGGCGUAAAGAGCGUGUAGGCGGCCAGAUAAGUCCGCUGUGAAAUCUCGAGGCUCAACUUCGAGCUGUCGGUGGAAACUGUCUGGCUAGAGUCCGGAAGAGGAGAAUGGAAUUCCUGGUGUAGCGGUGAAAUGCGCAGAUAUCAGGAAGAACACCCGUGGCGAAGGCGGUUCUCUGGGACGGUACUGACGCUGAGACGCGAAAGCGUGGGGAGCGAACAGG
Molecule: ribosomal RNA, 253 nt
Filed under: uncultured bacterium
Lineage: Bacteria
Description: partial 16S ribosomal RNA
Rfam family: Bacterial small subunit ribosomal RNA
Source: RNAcentral